This 1743-nucleotide unclassified non-coding RNA is filed under the name Octopus sinensis (East Asian common octopus). Its description in RNAcentral is "uncharacterized LOC115218667, transcript variant X3". Lineage: Eukaryota; Metazoa; Mollusca; Cephalopoda; Octopoda; Octopodidae. The record is from RNAcentral.
UAAAAUAUGAUGAAACGAGGGAUAACGCAAAUGAUUAAAAAAAAAUUGCUUCAAAUCGAAUCUAUAUCUCCCAGCUGGCAUCAUUACUUUAAAGACCAUUCUUUCUGUCACCAUUUAACGCUUCAAUGAACACCACAGAAAAGCCAUUAUGAGUAAAGUUAAAAAGGUUGCCAGUUUUACUGUAUUUUGUAAUGAUUAUAAAAAUCGACUGACAACAGCUUAUCCUUUUCUGACGCUGGAUCAGAUACAACAGAAACUAAGAGAAAAGUGGAAUGAUUUAAGUCUUUCUGAAAAGAAAUAUUACAGCAAAGCUGUGCUCUGUCAAUCUGUGACAAAAAGCAGCUCAAAGAAAAAGCUCUGCAAGCAAAAGAGAAGCAAGCCAACAAAACCUGAGAGUAACAGUCAACACCAUAAUUUAAAUGAGUUGAAUCUUUUCGAAGAUGAUUUGUCUGGACCAUCUGAUGAAAAUGAAGACAAGGUUUUCACAAGUUCUAGUCCAACUGAAGAAUCAUCUUCAUCAUCAUUUCAAAGAAGCAAUAGUAAGACAUACAUGGCUUCCAGAUUGAAGUUCAGCUACUCUGUUCCGGUGGUAGUUGAUGAAACUCCUUUUGUACAGCAGGGAAUCUUAAAGAAAAGAUGUUCAGAAAAAGAUCAAAAGACUAAAGUAAAGUUUAAUGUUUCUCCUGUGCCAUCUUUAUGUAAUGCGAGUGAAUUAAAACCUGAUGUGGUUAAUGAGCCAAACUGGAAUAGUAAAACACAUGAAAAAACUGUGGAAACCUCAAUCAAGGAAAAGAAAGAAACUUGCAGAAAAAUACAAGGGGGUGAUGGAGAUUGUAGAUCUUCUACUCCUAAUGUACUUGAGUCUAAAAGAAGAAGCAAAAGACUUGUUGAUAAAAGUUAUUUUAACCAGAAGCAAGCACACCAAGUUUUCAAUUACGCACAAGAUUGGAGCUCUUCACAGUCAGAUGAAACAAGUCCUAAAAGUGAUUUGAAAAUCUCAGCAAGUGAGAAUCUGGCUAAAUCUGCAGAAGAAAGAACUAAUAAACCUUUAACACCUGAGCUGCAAAGAAGUAUGAGUCAGUUAAUAAUUCAAAAGGUUUGUCAAGCCCCCAAGAAAAAAGGAUCAAGAGGGAAUUCGGUGUUCACAGAAAAUGUAGCCUGCAAAAGUGAUGACAAUGAUUCCAGCACACCUAAAAGUCUUGCAACAAAAAGUAAAAAAAUAAAAGGCAUAAAUCAUCACAGGUUGUUAUUGUCAGAGAAAUCAGAUUCAAAUGAGAAGAUUCUGAAAUGGAAUGCAAAUAUCCCGAUAAAAAAUAGCGAAAGGUCCAGCAAUGUAACAUCUUCAAAAUUCAAGUGUUUAUUUAGUCCAGAUGAAUCUUUGAGUUCUAAUGACUAUGGAGAUAAUGAUUUGGAAUCUUCUAUUGAAUGGGAUUUUUGGAACAACUCUCAAGAUGAGAAAGAAUCCCAAAAUGUUCAGAUUCAAGCGAGAAGAGUGUUACUAAAAUGAAGAAAACGGUGUCACCUUCAUUGAUGACAUCAAUGAUCAGUAAUAGUCCAGACAGUAUGGUCACUGAGUGUUCUUCACCAUUAUCUGGAAUUAGUGAGCUCUCUGACCCAGAUUCUGACAGUUAUGAAGAACAUGUAGAAGAGAAUGAGAAAAUGGAUUCAAAAGCAAUACUCUAUAUUAAUGACAAAAUUUCAGCUGGUGGUGAUGCUAAAUCUCAUUCCAUUUACAAAUGUAAC